Molecule: non-coding RNA, 20 nt
Filed under: Arabidopsis thaliana (thale cress)
Lineage: Eukaryota; Viridiplantae; Streptophyta; Magnoliopsida; Brassicales; Brassicaceae
Source: RNAcentral
GCCCUACAUCUUCCAGAGGC